GUUUGCAGCGUCGGUUCAAGUCACAUGGAAAAGUGCUCCAUUGAGGGUGACAGACCCGUACGACCGACCGAUUGGAUACCAGACGAGCACUCCCUAGAGUCUUUGUCGCAAAUGCAGCCCUAAGCAGGUGGUAAGCUCCAUCUAAAGCUAAAUAUAACCACAAGACCGAUAGUCAACAAGUACAGUGAUGGAAAGUUGAAAAGUACUCUGAAGAGAGAGUCAAAUAGCCCGUGAAGCUGCUAUCUAUGGGAUUAAGCGCACGUGUGGCACGUGUCGUUCAGCAAAUAGGCGGUGGCUGGUGGCCAGUAUGUGUUCUGCUUGCGCAUCAGUGUCGCCAAUGUGCGUGCUGCCAGUUGUUCGCUUCCCUUUGUCGAACAUUGACAGGUCGAGGCCUCGUUGAUUUGGUCCAAUUGUUGUCAAGCCGCUCCCAGUGGUCGCUGUAUUCCUACAGUGGCGAUGUUGUGCUGAAUGUGCGAUCGUUUACGACGGCGGCACUGUAGCUGGUGUGUGCAAGCGACUGUUCAACGGCUGGCGCGGUGUUGUGCACUGUCGGCUUAUGUGCUGUCACGUGCGGCCCGUCUUGAAACACGGACCAAGGAGUCUAACAUGUGAGCAAGCGAUUGAGUUAUUGUCUAAGCUCAAACGCACAAUGAAAGUGAAGUGCCACCUUGUGGUAUGAGCGGAGAUCAUUAUCGAAUUUAUUUGAUGAUGCCCAUCCGCGGGCCGCGCCAUCGGCUAGCUUGAUCACUCUCUUUCACUGCUGAGGCGCGGACCAAGAGUUGACACGUUGUGACCCGAAAGAUGGUG
RNAcentral lists this ribosomal RNA (807 nucleotides) under Sacculina pilosella. RNAcentral describes it as "partial large subunit ribosomal RNA". It matches the Rfam family "Eukaryotic large subunit ribosomal RNA", at positions 166 to 828 of the family's 3401-position model. The record is from RNAcentral. Lineage: Eukaryota; Metazoa; Arthropoda; Thecostraca; Sacculinidae.